GGUUAAACUUUAAUUUAAUAGUUUAUACAACAAAUCGGCGAUAUUUGUACCUACACUGAUUUGGGAAAACCCAAUGCCGGAUUACGACUUAGUACACUAGCAAGAUUAUUUGUAAAACACAUAGAAUAAUAUUUCUGAGAUCAACCACUGAGGAUUGUUUGGCUUGAUGCAAUGACCUUAAACAGUUAAAGGAUUUUCCAGGAAGGUAUAUACACCACAAGCUGGAUUGUUUGGGGUGAUGAAAGAACUAUGAAUAUGUGAAUGGGAAUGAAACAGAAGGAAUUAAUAUGUUCUACUGAUCAUCCAGCUGAAAUCGUGCCUAUGGAAUAGAGUGCAUGUCACAAAUACUGAUAUGAGCAAAUUACUCCAUAUUGCACAAAUAAGGUCAUGUUUCCUGCCCUCAUGACCUCAAAAAGUUAAACAUUCUAAUUCAAAUUACAAAUGUGUUUCAAGAAAAAGUAAAACUGUGAGAAAUAUUGGGUAAAAGUAUUUAAUAAGUGUUUUGUUGCCAUGACAGCUGUGAAGUGGUUUGAAAAGCACUAUCUUAAUUGUUCUAACAAUACAGAAUUUAACUUAUGAAUUUUCCAAAACUGCAUGCAUGAAAUACUAAGACAUGUCCGUUGAAUGAAUCCUAGUUGUUUCAAAACUACAACAUGUGUGACAUUUAAAGCACAACCUUUGGAUGAAAAAUUUUUACAAUCAAAACUGCCUUGCCAGUGUGAGUGUAGGAAGGAUUUUCCCAGAAAUGGCCAUGACAGAAAACUUCCAGUAUAGCAGAAAAUAUUUGUUACUGGCUAAAUAUAAUAUAUUUUAUUUCAAGAAUUAAUCAUGUAAAUCCAUGGUUAUAAUUGUGUUAAAAGAUAUUUUUACAUGAACUUUGCAGAAAUAGCUAUUUUUUGUUGCAAAACAUUGUCAGUUGCCAUGGUAACACAAAUUUGACUUAAAUUUAGAUUUGUUUGAUUACGUAGACAGCAUGUUUCUUGUUUAUAUUCUACUAAUCAGACUGUUCUGCAAGAAAAUAUCUUUUAUGUGUAAUCAUUGCAUUAACAAAACAUGUCAUAACACAAAUCUGCCAUAAAAUGGCAGAGUUGUAAUGCAGGUAGGCAUAUCAGGAAAAUAUGUAGUUCUCAAAGUUAAAUUAUAUUACAUGAAAUAUGUUUUUUUUUUUUAUAAAUGAUCAUAAUUGACCAUUUGUGGUGUAAAACAAAUGUAUACUGAACAGAUGCUAAAUGAAUGUUCUGAUUCUUUCUGGAAAAUUUACAAAAAUACUACUGUUUUAAGAAAAUAAUGCAUUGUUGCCAUGGUAACAUUAAUUUGACUUUUAAAUUAUUUUGGAUAUCAUCAUAUGUAAACAACAUCUUUCUUGUUUAUAUGUUAUAUUUUUUAAGCUGUAUUAUGUUAGUGAAUAUAUUUUCGUAUGUAAUAAUUGCAUCAGCAAAGCACUUUGUUAUCACACAAGUCUGCCUUAAAAUGGCAAGAGUUGUAACUGAGAGAGGUGCAUCCGAAAAUUACGAUUUCUCAAACAAUAUUACAUUAAUUUGCAUGGAAUGAUGUCUCUUACUUUUAAAUAAGAAAACAGACAGCUUUUGAUGUAAAUAUAUGGAAAAACACUUCAAAUAUUCAAAUUAUUACAAAGAAAUUGACAAAAAUGUUAGUAUUUUUGUAAGAAAAUACCACAUUGUUGCCAUGGUAAUGUUAGUAUUUUUGUAAGAAAGUACCACAUUGUUGCCAUGGUAAUGUUAGUAUUUUUGUAAGAAAAUACCACAUCGUUGCUAUGGUAAUGAUUCACUGAUCCGUAUUAUCUAAGUCUUCUGAAAUUUUAGCAAACUCACAGUUGAUAAUAACAGUCUAUAAUUAUAUCUUCUUGUCUGAUUUUCUUUCUUACUGUUUGAUAGAUAAGGUGUCUAUAACAAUAAGAUUAAUGUCCUAGUUUUUGGGAUGUUGUCUAAUUUGAUAUCAAAUAAAAUCUGAAUUUUGUUCAAAAGAAUGUCAUAAAACAGUUGUCUGUAAACUGUUUGCACACUAGAAAAAGUUAAUUGUGUAUUUAUUUCACAUUCUUUGUAAUGUAUUGCUAGAUUCAUCAUGAGACUGUUAAAAAAGAGGUUAAACAACAGUGUUGCUAUAGAAACGAUUUUUAGAACAUAAAUAUUUUUAUACAACAUGAAAGAAAGAGACAAAAAGAAAUACAUUCCAUUAAUUGCG
This is a long non-coding RNA of Mercenaria mercenaria, 2202 nucleotides long. RefSeq lists it as uncharacterized. The transcript is spliced from 3 exons. Lineage: Eukaryota; Metazoa; Mollusca; Bivalvia; Venerida; Veneridae. The record is from RefSeq and is a predicted model, not a curated record.